Molecule: ribosomal RNA, 459 nt
Filed under: uncultured bacterium
Lineage: Bacteria
Description: partial 16S ribosomal RNA
Rfam family: Bacterial small subunit ribosomal RNA
Source: RNAcentral
CCUACGGGAGGCAGCAGUGAGGAAUAUUGGUCAAUGGCCGCAGGGCUGAACCAGCCAAGUCGCGUGAGGGAUGACGGUCCUAUGGAUUGUAAACCUCUUUUGUCAGGGAGCAAAGGGCGCCACGUGUGGCGCUUUGCGAGUACCUGAAGAAAAAGCAUCGGCUAACUCCGUGCCAGCAGCCGCGGUAAUACGGAGGAUGCGAGCGUUAUCAGGAUUUAUUGGGUUUAAAGGGUGCGCAGGCGGAAUGUCAAGUCAGCGGUAAAAUUUCGGGGCUCAACCCCGUCGUGCCGUUGAAACUGGCGUUCUUGAGUGAGCGAGAAGUAUGCGGAAUGCGUGGUGUAGCGGUGAAAUGCAUAGAUAUCACGCAGAACUCCGAUUGCGAAGGCAGCAUACCGGCGCUCAACUGACGCUCAUGCACGAAAGCGUGGGUAUCGAAUAGGAUUAGAUACCCGAGUAGUC